GACGAACGCUGGCGGCGUGCCUAAUACAUGCCAGUCGAGCGCUGAAGGUUGGUACUUGUACCAACUGGAUGAGCAGCGAACGGGUGAGUAACGCGUGGGGAAUCUGCCUUUGAGCGGGGGACAACAUCUGGAAACGAAUGCUAAUACCGCAUAAAAACUUUAAACACAAGUUUUAAGUUUGAAAGAUGCAAUUGCAUCACCCAAAAAUUAGCCCCCGUUGUAUUUGCCUGUUUGUUAGGUAAAGGCCCAACAAAGCCAAGAUAGAUAGCCGGCCCUGAAGGGUGGACGGGCCCAUUGGGACCUGAGAACGGCCCAAGCUCCUAAGGGAGGGAGCAGUAGGGGAACUUCGGCAAUGGGCGAAAGGCUGACCGAGCAACGCCGCGGGAGUGAAGGAGGUUUUCGGAUCGUAAAACUCUGUUGGUAGGGAAGGACGUUGGUGAGAGUGGAAAGCUCAUCAAGUGACGGUAACUAACCAGAAAGGGACGGCUAACUACGUG
RNAcentral lists this ribosomal RNA (497 nucleotides) under uncultured bacterium. Its description in RNAcentral is "partial 16S ribosomal RNA". It matches the Rfam family "Bacterial small subunit ribosomal RNA", at positions 28 to 507 of the family's 1533-position model. The record is from RNAcentral.